UUAUUUUGUAUAUGAAGCCGGUGAAGAUAUCAUCUCUAAUUGUUCUUGUUUUUAUUUGGUUUAUUUUGUUCUAUUGUGAUUAUUUAUUUUGUUUAUGAAGCUUCUGAAGACAAUUAUUUUGUCCCUACUGUGAAUUGUUAUAAUGGUGGUGUGGGUGCUGAUGAUUAAAUGACUUUUAAAGACUCUAAAAGAGAUAUUCAGCACCAAGUGUACA
RNAcentral lists this long non-coding RNA (214 nucleotides) under Lathyrus oleraceus (garden pea). RNAcentral's name for it is "Pisum sativum (pea) long non-coding RNA (PSAT_LNC028459)". Lineage: Eukaryota; Viridiplantae; Streptophyta; Magnoliopsida; Fabales; Fabaceae. The record is from RNAcentral.